This 2405-nucleotide long non-coding RNA is filed under the name Homo sapiens (human). Its description in RNAcentral is "HSALNT0227128". The record is from RNAcentral. Lineage: Eukaryota; Metazoa; Chordata; Mammalia; Primates; Hominidae.
GGGGACUCCGUGUGCGCGACUAGGUGCUCUCCUGGGGCUGGCAGGGGCAUCUGUCCCUUUACCGGUGCAAUGGGGAGGGUGCACACGGUUCACCAGCUUUCGGGCUAGCUGGGUAGGAGGUGAUGCUGCCCCGGUCUGGCACCCACUCCCCCGGGCCUCUCCUAACCCAUAGGACAGUAGUGCUCCUGGCUUGUGCUGCCCAGAGGCUACCUGGCUUUCCCUAAUUCACCGACCCCAGGAUUAACCCCAUGGUGGUUGGUAUCAGGGGAUGAGGCCAGAGCCCUUUGAGCUGUGCCCCUCACAGGGGUAGGGUCAUGGCCUCAGCCAUCCCGGUACCAUCUGUGCCCAGCCGGGGACUGGGAACCUGGUUUCUCCAUGAGGAGCCAUCCCAGGGCCUGCAGGAGGGACUAGAAGCCAGAGGACUCUGAGGCUCCGCUUCCUGGGGACUGCAGGGGGAUCAGAAUGUCCCAAGCUUGGGACAGUCUGGGAAGGCAGUGGCCAUCCCAUCCAGAUGAGUACAUCCCUCUCUCCUUGCCUACUUCCCUCCUACCAGCCGUCGCGGAGGCCACUGAUCCUGUGUGGUGUUCACCCCAGGACGUGGGAGGCUGCUCUGUCCCUCUGGCCUUAGUUUCCACAUCUGUAUGGUGGGGUUGGGGGGCAUGAGUCAGCUUCUGUUGGCCAGCUUACUGCCCCCUGUGCCCCAAGGCAGCCCCACCCGGAGGAAGCUCCCUGCUUCCCUCCUGGUCUCCACAGCCCUCAUCAGCCCUGUUUGUGUCAGGGGCUGGAUGUGGCAAAACUUGCAAAACCGCAUUCAUGGCAGUUACACAUCUGCACGCAGGGUUCCCUCGCUGCCUGGGGCUGGGCAGGUAGGUGUCCGGUGGGAAGCGGGCCCUGCCUGCAGGACUCAGCCCAGCCCUCAAAACCUGGCACCCAGCUGGCACCCAGGCCACAUCCCUCAGCGGCACAGUUAAUUGAAAAUGCAGCUUUGAGGAGUGCAAUGUCUGGGGAAAGACUGUUCCCAGAGGGGCAGGAGCAUCUGGGGCCUCUGGUGGCUCCCAGGGUCCCCAUGGGAGGAGCCCUGUGCCCUCCACUCCCAAGUCUCAGUUGUGCCAUCUGUAAAGUGGGGGCCGCCAGGGAGGCUGGAGGAAGGUGACGGGACUUCAGGCCUUGGAAUGGGGCUGAGUGAGGGGUUCACAUGGCCACCCCAUCCCUCUCCACGCUCCACCCGCUGGCUGCAUCCACCAGGCGGUGUUUCUGGGUCACAUUUGCUGCAAUUCAGGUGCUAAUGGGGGCAGGAGGCUGCAGGGGGAGGGGCCGGUGUCUAGUGGGGCAGAUGUUUCUCAAUGGAGAAUGCUCACAGCGGCCUGCAGAGGGGGUCUGGUGUGGCCUGGGGCUCCUGGGGUUGGGAUUUACACAGUGAGCCUGGGCUUUGGGGCACAGCUGCUGCUGACAGAGGGUCUUGGGGUCUGGGAAGGUGCUUAAAGCCCGGCCCCCAUGCCUGAGCUCCCACACCCCUGUUUAGGGACACCCAGAUAGGGUGUCUCCUGCAGGAAAUUCCCCACAUAAUUCAUUUAUUUAAAAAAUAUUUUUUGCCGGGCACGGUGGUUCAUGCCUGUAAUCCCAGCACUUUGGGAGGCCAAGGUGGGCGGAUCAUGAGGUCAAGAGAUCAAGACCAUCCUGGCCAACAUGGUGAAACCCCAUCUCUACUAAAAAUACAAAAGUUAGCCAGGUGUGGUGGCACGUGCCUGUAGUCCCAGCUACUCGGGAGGCUGAGGCAGGAGAAUCACUUGAACUAGAAGGCAAAGGUUGCAGUGAGCCCAGAUAACGCCACUGCACUCCAGCCUGGUGACAGAGCGAGACUCCGUCUCAAAAAAAAAAAAAAAAAAAAUCUAAAUAGCCUCCCACCCAUACCCCCUGAUCGAGGGCAGGCCCCAGGAGCCAGGCUGGAUUUCUGGGUGUGCUGGGCCUGGGAGGGCCAGGAAGUCAAGCUGGCAUUAGGGGAGUGGGCCUGAGGGGUGGCGGUAGGGGCACCUCGGCGGCUUGAAGCUCCAAGUCUGGGCCUGGGACUUGGCAGGGCCCCGAGAACCCCUCAAAUACUUGUGGGGCUCCCUCACUGGCCCUUGCGCAAGAGCAGCCUCCGUUUCCUGGGACAGGCCUCCCCACCCCUGCAGGGCCUCAGCCAGGACAUAGCAAAUCCCAGCGCCUCCCUCUGGGGCUCCUCAGUUCCCAGUCACCAAGGACCUCUGGAGCCUGCUGAGCUGACACACACAGGAAAGGGCUCCAGGCUCGCUCUGUCUCCCCCACCUGUCCUGGCCUUUCUGAGCGCCCCCAUCUCUGUCUUCUGCCGACCAGCUGACCCUGAGCAAGUCACUUCCUACCUUCAUUUCCCUGCCUGUAAGACAGCA